This 686-nucleotide ribosomal RNA is filed under the name uncultured Burkholderiales bacterium. RNAcentral describes it as "bacterial SSU rRNA". It matches the Rfam family "Bacterial small subunit ribosomal RNA", at positions 56 to 737 of the family's 1533-position model. Lineage: Bacteria; Pseudomonadati; Pseudomonadota; Betaproteobacteria; Burkholderiales. The record is from RNAcentral.
UGCAAGUCGAACGGCAGCACGGACUUCGGUCUGGUGGCGAGUGGCGAACGGGUGAGUAAUAUAUCGGAACAUACCCAGUAGUGGGGGAUAACUAUCCGAAAGGAUAGCUAAUACCGCAUACGAUCUGUGGAUGAAAGCAGGGGAUCUUCGGACCUUGUGCUAUUGGAAUGGCCGAUAUCUGAUUAGCUAGUUGGUAGGGUAAAAGCCUACCAAGGCGACGAUCAGUAGCUGGUCUGAGAGGACGACCAGCCACACUGGAACUGAGACACGGUCCAGACUCCUACGGGAGGCAGCAGUGGGGAAUUUUGGACAAUGGGGGCAACCCUGAUCCAGCAAUGCCGCGUGAGUGAAGAAGGCCCUCGGGUUGUAAAGCUCUUUUGUCAGGGAAGAAACGGAGUUCUCUAAUAUAGGAUUCUAAUGACGGUACCUGAAGAAUAAGCACCGGCUAACUACGUGCCAGCAGCCGCGGUAAUACGUAGGGUGCAAGCGUUAAUCGGAAUUACUGGGCGUAAAGCGUGCGCAGGCGGUUUUGUAAGUCUGAUGUGAAAUCCCCGGGCUCAACCUGGGAACUGCAUUGGAGACUGCAAGGCUAGAGUGUGUCAGAGGGGGGUAGAAUUCCACGUGUAGCAGUGAAAUGCGUAGAGAUGUGGAGGAAUACCGAUGGCGAAGGCAGCCCCCUGGGAUAA